GACGAACGCUGGCGGCGUGCUUAACACAUGCAAGUCGAACGGAAAGGCCUGUCCUUCCUUGUGUUGGACGGGUACUCGAGUGGCGAACGGGUGAGUAACACGUGAGUGAUCUGCCCCCAACUUGGGUAUAAGCCUGGGAAACUGGGUCUAAUUCCCGAUAGGACUGCAGGGUGGUGCCUGUGGUGGAAAACGAUUUUCUAGUGGUUGGGGAUGAGCUCGCGGCCUAUCAGCUUGUUGGUGGGGUAAUGGCCUACCAAGGCGGCGACGGGUAGCCGGCCUGAGAGGGUGGACGGCCACAUUGGGACUGAGAUACGGCCCAGACUCCUACGGGAGGCAGCAGUGGGGAAUAUUGCACAAUGGGCGGAAGCCUGAUGCAGCGACGCCGCGUGGGGGAUGACGGCCUUCGGGUUGUAAACUCCUUUCGACCGCGAGGAAGCCGCCUGGUUGGAAGGGUGGUGACGGUAGUGGUAGAAGAGGCACCGGCUAACUACGUG
RNAcentral lists this ribosomal RNA (494 nucleotides) under uncultured bacterium. Its description in RNAcentral is "partial 16S ribosomal RNA". It matches the Rfam family "Bacterial small subunit ribosomal RNA", at positions 28 to 507 of the family's 1533-position model. The record is from RNAcentral.